RNAcentral lists this non-coding RNA (25 nucleotides) under Cricetulus griseus (Chinese hamster). The record is from RNAcentral. Lineage: Eukaryota; Metazoa; Chordata; Mammalia; Rodentia; Cricetidae.
CAAGAAGGAAGGCUUAACCCCCACC